Long non-coding RNA from Etheostoma spectabile (orangethroat darter), 103 nucleotides. RefSeq lists it as uncharacterized. NCBI's taxonomy places the organism in Eukaryota, Metazoa, Chordata, Actinopteri, Perciformes, Percidae. The transcript is spliced from 3 exons. The record is from RefSeq and is a predicted model, not a curated record.
UAAAAAAAUCGCACAAGACUUUUUUGAAAACACGGUUUACUCCAUAGGAUUAAAAUCUAAAACAGGCGCUGGCAGCUUAAAAAAAAGACACCAAGUGUGAACA